This 473-nucleotide ribosomal RNA is filed under the name uncultured bacterium. RNAcentral's name for it is "bacterial SSU rRNA". It matches the Rfam family "Bacterial small subunit ribosomal RNA", at positions 335 to 799 of the family's 1533-position model. The record is from RNAcentral.
ACUCCUACGGGAGGCAGCAGUGGGGAAUAUUGCACAAUGGGCGCAAGCCUGAUGCAGCCAUGCCGCGUGUAUGAAGAAGGCCUUCGGUUGUAAAGUACUUUCUAGUCGUGAGGAAGGCGGCGUCGUUAAUAGCGGCGUUGUUUGACGUUAGCGACAGAAGAAGCACCGGCUAACUCCGUGCCAGCAGCCGCGGUAAUACGGAGGGUGCGAGCGUUAAUCGGAAUUACUGGGCGUAAAGCGCAUGCAGGUGGUUUGUUAAGUCAGAUGUGAAAGCCCGGGGGCUCAACCUCGGAAUUGCAUUUGAAACUGGCAGACUAGAGUACUGUAGAGGGGGUAGAAUUUCAGGUGUAGCGGUGAAAUGCGUAGAGAUCUGAAGGAAUACCGGUGGCGAAGGCGGCCCCCUGGACAGAUACUGACACUCAGAUGCGAAAGCGUGGGGAGCAAACAGGAUUAGAUACCCUGGUAGGACAGUG